This 499-nucleotide ribosomal RNA is filed under the name uncultured bacterium. RNAcentral describes it as "partial 16S ribosomal RNA". It matches the Rfam family "Bacterial small subunit ribosomal RNA", at positions 30 to 523 of the family's 1533-position model. The record is from RNAcentral.
AUUGAACGCUGGCGGAAUGCUUUACACAUGCAAGUCGAACGGCAGCACGGACUUCGGUCUGGUGGCGAGUGGCGAACGGGUGAGUAAUGUAUCGGAACGUGCCCAGUCGUGGGGAUAACGUAGUGAAAAUUACGCUAAUACCGCAUACGUUCUAUGGAUGAAAGCGGGGGAUCGCAAGACCUCGCGCGAUUGGAGCGGCCGAUAUCAGAUUAGGUAGUUGGUGGGGUAAAGGCCCACCAAGCCAACGAUCUGUAGCUGGUCUGAGAGGACGACCAGCCACACUGGAACUGAGACACGGUCCAGACUCCUACGGGAGGCAGCAGUGGGGAAUUUUGGACAAUGGGCGAAAGCCUGAUCCAGCCAUUCCGCGUGCAGGAUGAAGGCCCUCGGGUUGUAAACUGCUUUUGUACAGAACGAAAAGGUUUCUACUAAUACUAGGAGCUCAUGACGGUACUGUAAGAAUAAGCACCGGCUAACUCCGUGCCAGCCGCCGCCGUAA